Molecule: ribosomal RNA, 403 nt
Filed under: bacterium
Lineage: Bacteria
Description: partial 16S ribosomal RNA
Rfam family: Bacterial small subunit ribosomal RNA
Source: RNAcentral
UGGGGAAUAUUGCACAAUGGGGGAAACCCUGAUGCAGCGACGCCGCGUGAACGAAGAAGGUAUUUGUAUCGUAAAGUUCUGUCCUAUGGGAAGAUAAUGACAGUACCAUAGAAGAAAGCUCCGGCUAAAUACGUGCCAGCAGCCGCGGUAAUACGUAUGGAGCGAGCGUUGUCCGGAAUUAUUGGGCGUAAAGGGUACGCAGGCGGUUUAAUAAGUCGAAUGUUAAAGAUCGGGGCUCAACCCCGCAAAGCAUUGGAAACUGAUAAACUUGAGUAGUGGAGAGGAAAGUGGAAUUCCUAGUGUAGUGGUGAAAUACGUAGAUAUUAGGAGGAAUACCAGUAGCGAAGGCGACUUUCUGGACACAAACUGACGCUGAGGUACGAAAGCGUGGGGAGCAAACAGG